This 242-nucleotide long non-coding RNA is filed under the name Oryza brachyantha (malo sina). Its description in RNAcentral is "long non-coding RNA (OBRA_LNC000888)". The record is from RNAcentral. Lineage: Eukaryota; Viridiplantae; Streptophyta; Magnoliopsida; Poales; Poaceae.
CUGUUUUUCUAUCUCAACCUUCAUGUCCAUAAGACUGGGAUGCAUCGAGAACAAGAAAUCUGGAAUGACAAACCCUUUAGGAUGUCUAUGGUUUCAAAACUGAGUAGGAUGGGUUAGAGCCAACUCAGAAAGGUGAAAUAUGUUUGUUCAAUUUUUAUAUUUGGUUCAACAGAUGAUUAGAACUCUUUUGUUUGGAUGGAGAGAUACGAUGGGAUGGAAUGGUCCUAUGCCAUGCUUGGAUG